This 30-nucleotide non-coding RNA is filed under the name Rattus norvegicus (Norway rat). The record is from RNAcentral. Lineage: Eukaryota; Metazoa; Chordata; Mammalia; Rodentia; Muridae.
UGGAAAGAAAUCCAAUCGGGCCAGUUAGAA